CGGGACGGGUGAGUAAUGUCUGGGAAACUGCCCGAUGGAGGGGGAUAACUACUGGAAACGGUAGCUAAUACCGCAUAACGUCGCAAGACCAAAGAGGGGGACCUUAGGGCCUCUUGCCAUCGGAUGUGCCCAGAUGGGAUUAGCUAGUAGGUGGGGUAAUGGCUCACCUAGGCGACGAUCCCUAGCUGGUCUGAGAGGAUGACCAGCCGCACUGGAACUGAGACACGGUCCAG
This 233-nucleotide ribosomal RNA is filed under the name uncultured bacterium. RNAcentral's name for it is "partial 16S ribosomal RNA". It matches the Rfam family "Bacterial small subunit ribosomal RNA", at positions 100 to 334 of the family's 1533-position model. The record is from RNAcentral.